Molecule: non-coding RNA, 111 nt
Organism: Chelonoidis abingdonii (Abingdon island giant tortoise)
Lineage: Eukaryota; Metazoa; Chordata; Testudines; Testudinidae
Source: RefSeq, a predicted model, not a curated record
CUGCCCCCAUAGUGUUUUUUAUGUAGCCUGUUAUAAAACUAGGCAAAUAUCAAGAUGAGUCAAUGUACCCCCAGGAAGACAGCUGUGUACCCCUGGGGUAUGGGCACCUGG